Molecule: RNA transcript, 845 nt
Organism: Nomascus leucogenys (northern white-cheeked gibbon)
Lineage: Eukaryota; Metazoa; Chordata; Mammalia; Primates; Hylobatidae
Gene name: multifunctional methyltransferase subunit TRM112-like protein pseudogene
Exons: 1
Source: RefSeq, a predicted model, not a curated record
GCGUGAGCCACUGCGCCCGGCCUACUCUUACAUUCUUUUACAGAAGAUUAUUCCUGGGGAAAUAAAAUGGCAUUUUGCAUAUAGCUACAGGUGUUACUUAUAAAUUUGCCCUUUAUCUUAGAACUUCAGUGAUUAUAAUAGUGUAAAUACAGUAAGUUUAGAAGAUGACAAAGCUGUGGUAGUAUUUCCUAUACAAAUGAAAUAAUGACUUUUAAAAUAGCAUUGAUUAUUGUAAUCUUUAAGGCAUAUUUGUAUACAAAACAUACCAAACCUGCGCUUGUGUGGCGACAUGAAACUGCUCACCCACAAUCUGCUGAGCUCGCAUGUGCCGGGGGUGGGGUCCUGUGGCUUCCCCCUGCGCCCCCAGGCCACCGAGGUCCGUAUCUGCCCUGUAGAAUUCCACCGCAACUUUGUGGCGCAUAUGAUACCUAAGGUGGAGUGGUCGGCAUUCCUGGAGGUGGCAGAUAACUUGCGCCUGAUCCAGGUGCCUAAAGGGCCGGUUGAGGGAUAUGAGGAGAAUGAAGAGUUUCUGAGGACCAUGCACCACCUGCUGCUGGAAGUGGAAGUGAUAGAGGGCACCCUGCAGUGCCUGGAAUCUGGACGUAUGUUCCGCAUCAGCCGCGGGAUCCCCAACAUGCUGCUGAGUGAAGAGGAAACUGAGAGUUGAUUGUGCCAGGCUCCAGUUUUUCUUGUUAUGACUGUGUGUAUUUUUGUUGAUAUAUACCCUGUUGCCAAAUUCUGCCGUGUGUAUCCCCAACCCUUGACCCAAUGACACCAAACACACAGUGUUCUUGAGCUCUAUAUUAUAUAUUUUUUUCUCAUUAAAGGUUCAAAACCAAAAAAAA